This is a non-coding RNA of Misgurnus anguillicaudatus (oriental weatherfish), 3212 nucleotides long. The record is from RefSeq and is a predicted model, not a curated record. NCBI's taxonomy places the organism in Eukaryota, Metazoa, Chordata, Actinopteri, Cypriniformes, Cobitidae.
UGUCAAGAUCUUCAGAUGAUGUUUGAGAAAAAAGUCAUCAUCCUCUUCGUCACUCUUCAUCCGUAUUUGGGGUAACAAACAGCUGCUUCCCACAAGAGACUGGACCGCUGAAGUCAGGUGACCUGCACCUUCCUUGAACAUGUUGGUAACUUACUCUGUAUUUGUUCACGGUGGUCACCCCAGGGUCUCAGGACUCAAAACGAGUGCUCUAUGGAUUGAACAGAAAAUGUAGUAUAAACAAGUGUUAAGUUAUGUCUUUAAAUGCCACUAAUAAUGUGUUUCUGUUUUCUUUCUCAUUAUGCUAACACACGCUCUUUUACCCCUCAUGUUAGGUGGAUCAACACUCCAACCAUCUGCAUUAGGGACUGAAUAAAGGAUGCCCUCUGUAGCUGGGAAUGUUUGAUCAGGCGGAUCAACAUUCCAUCCAUCUGCAUUAGGAUCUACCUUAGAGACACUCACUGGAGCUGUAAAGGGAAGCAGGUCACUUACUUUUCAUUCGUCCUUGGUGGUCACCCCAGGGUCUCUAGAGUGAAAAUUACUCAAUCUAUGGAUUAAACAGAAAAUGUAGUUUUAUGAAGUGCAAUUUGGAACAUUCUUCCAGUUGUCGGCAACUUUGUGAAAAAGGCUGGAAACUAAAAUGCAGAAUUCUGGCCUGGUGUUUGGUCCGUGCUGUCUUUGGCUCUUGCAUCUCCAUCAUCCUGACCCUCUUUAGCAGCCUGUCCAUGUAUUUAUUUGGAGGCCACCAUGAGCACCCAUCUGCAUAAUAUGACUUUGUUACUCAGUUGUCCAUGCUCCUACAAAUUCUACAUUUUUUGUAAAGCUGCAACAAGUUGAAACCCUAUAAUUAUUAACAUUUGAUUUUGAAUUAUGUAAUUCAAAUACAUGAAUAAGUAACAAAAGCAGAAAUAUAUUAAGACAUUACCUUUUUGUUGAUUGUUUACUAAUCUGUAAACCCUUUUGCAUUCUCAUAAUUGAUCAUCAUAACUUGGUAUACAGUGGAUGUGUGGCUGUAGAUAACUUUCUGAAGUCAAUUUAAAAAGGCAAAAGUUAAUAAAUUCUAAAUUGGUCAAAUAUACAUUGUUGUAUUUUCACCAUUUUGAUCUUAUUUAGGCAUUUCAUAACUUGAGGGGAAAUUUACGUAUACUGAUGUUUCAAAUCAAAUAUUAAUUUAUUAAUGACAGCUAAUCAUUUUAUAAAGAUUUUUUAUAACAAUAUUUAUUUAUAUAAUAUCAAUUUAAUACAUUUAUUUCGUUACACCUACAUCACUGAGCGCAAGGGAGUGCAGCCAACAAAUACAUUCAGGUGUGUUUGACUUAACACCGAGAUGCGCAGACAGCACGUGGUAUGACAUCAAGUACCGCGAGAGUUUGGGAAAGCCCCGGAAAAGGUUUGAACUCGCGGUACUUGAUGUCACGAUCGGUUUGCGCGUAGAUCAGCAUGAAGUCAAACACAUCUGAGAGAUGUGUGGGCUGCCUGCCCUGCACCCAACGUUGCGAUCAUUCAAUAGAGUGCAACCUCAAUUGGUUUUUGCAGCUUCUGGGUCUCGUGUAGAACGAUCACAGAACGAUUUUUUUUGUUCUUUUCCAACUCGAUGUUCCAACGGGUGAAGCAACAGUGCUGACGGCAGUUUCAGUGUCAAGUUUUCAUGCCAUGACCACUGGGGCGGAAACCAUUAUGACAUUGCCUUGGACAUCAAACUAAACCAUCUCAUUCUGGCUUUUGAGGUGGAUUCUAACCUCGAAAUCUCAGAAGGACAGGUCUCAGAUGGACGCAGCCUCCAUAGGAUGCAACCUUGCAUUUGAGAAACACCCAUAGAACGGAGAAAGUCAUGGGUUCUGCUGCUAAGGUUGUCAUAAACGUCUUUUAUUCUGCUUACCUGACUCAUGCAGAAUUCUGGCUUGAUGUUUGGUCCACCUGUUAGCUGGCUCUGGUGCUUGGUAGUCUUCUCAAACCUCUGAAUCAAGACCACCAUGAGAGGCCUUCUGAAGACCAUCAUUACGCUUCAGAUCCAGUUGUCUUUACUAAGAGCCUACCACAAUCCCUGUGCACCAGCUAUGGAAAGUGCAGACCAAACUUCUACCUCCACCUAUAGAACUGAACUGGAGUCUAUGAACUAAUGCUGUGUUCGAGACAACUUGGAUGUUGGAUAUUAUUGACCUUAAACCCGUAAGAAGUCAGGAACAGGAAACAAAGUGGAGUAUCCGACUUCUCAACUUGGAACAGAUCGAUCAACACCGACCUCAACGAGAUGCGUCAUUUGACAUUGCAGACAAGAUCCUUUCUCUUUUUAAUGCAGCACUUAAGGAUGAACCACCCUGAUCUACUAAGAUGCACAGAUUCAACUCUGGCCCAACAUCAUCCCCAUACCUCAUCUGCCAUCAGUUUAAUUUAAUGUCUGUCAAUUGCAAAUGCUAUUUAUUUCAGUUAUAUUACAACUUAAUAUUAAAGGAAUAGUCUACCCUUUUGCCAUAUUAAACUAUGUUAUUACCUCAACCUAGAUGAAUUAAUACAUACCUAUCUUUUUUCAAUGCGUGCACCGUACAGCGCGUUGUGAAUGUGUUAGCAUUUAGCCUAGCCCCAUUCAUUCCUAUGGUACCAAAAAAAGUUUUAUUUUGUGGCACCAUACUUACUGGUAUAACUCCUCAUGUAACAGUCUUUAAAUAGGGAAAACACGAAAGUGUUUGGUGGCUUCCCUGUUUGGUACCAUAGGAAUGAAUGGGACUAGGCUAAAUGCUAACACAUUCACGACGCGCUGUACAGUGCACGCAUUGAAAAACAAUAGAUAUGUAUUAAUUCGUCUAAGUUGAGGUAAUAACAUAGUUUAAUAUGGCAAAAGGGUAGACUAUUCCUUUAACUUUAAUUGAGACUAGUAUUGUGUAAAGCUGGGGUUUCCAAACUUCUCAUUUCAAAACCUAUUAGACAAGUGUAAUCUAUUCUAGACCCACUAAAAUAUUUUUAAAUAUACAUUUUUUAAUGGGGUAAAACACAUUUGUUCUCUUUCAGUGGAGACAUUUUAUUUUCAUAAUAUUUCAUAAUGUAAAGUAUAUAUAAGUUUAUUUGCAAUACCAAAUAUUUCAUGGUAUAUUCUUUCAAAACCAUUGUCAUUGUUAAUUAUUAAUUUGGCCAAACUGUUGUUGCAUCAUUACGGUGUGCAACACACCUUAACCUACUGUGUGACGGACAAGUGGGUCCUCCUGACACACAAUUUAAAA